This 23-nucleotide non-coding RNA is filed under the name Arabidopsis thaliana (thale cress). The record is from RNAcentral. Lineage: Eukaryota; Viridiplantae; Streptophyta; Magnoliopsida; Brassicales; Brassicaceae.
ACACUUCCGAUGCGCAUGUAACU